This 23-nucleotide non-coding RNA is filed under the name Gossypium hirsutum (cotton). The record is from RNAcentral. Lineage: Eukaryota; Viridiplantae; Streptophyta; Magnoliopsida; Malvales; Malvaceae.
CAUCAGUGUUGCCCAAAAUAAGC